Long non-coding RNA from Maniola jurtina (meadow brown), 103 nucleotides. RefSeq lists it as uncharacterized. NCBI's taxonomy places the organism in Eukaryota, Metazoa, Arthropoda, Insecta, Lepidoptera, Nymphalidae. The transcript has 3 exons. The record is from RefSeq and is a predicted model, not a curated record.
UACAGACUGUAGGAAGGCCAAAGAGCCUUUGCCUAACGUAAAGCAACGACAAACCUAACAAACUACUCCGUCUGGACAGAGGUAAACUAGGAAGUGAUGGGAC